This is a non-coding RNA of Peromyscus maniculatus bairdii (prairie deer mouse), 951 nucleotides long. The record is from RefSeq and is a predicted model, not a curated record. NCBI's taxonomy places the organism in Eukaryota, Metazoa, Chordata, Mammalia, Rodentia, Cricetidae.
CCUGUUUUAGAGGUCUCAGAAUGGCAGAAUGGGAGGGGCUGAUUGUGAUGUCUUUCCUCCCGAGUGUUGCUCUCAUGGGUGCCCAGUUGGAGGGUAGCUCUGCAGAGGCCACCGGCACCAUGGGAAAGGCUAGCAGAAUCGUCCUUUUGACAUGAAGACCGUGGUAUACAUGGGAUGGAAAAAGAGCCGCAGAGAUACCCCGCCUGCCCAGCCAGGGCCUGGAGCUCAGCAUCUUCCAGGAGUUCAGUCUCACCCCCGUGGAAGUCAUCUUGGACGGCCUGUCUCACAACGGAAACACGGUUCUAGGAGGAAGUGGGAAACUGUGACACUCGCUCCCUCUCCCACUCAAGAUGGGAGCCUGCUUCCGUGUGGACAGUCUGCGCCAUCUCCCUCCCGCAUAGGCAGGGGGAACAGCAGCAGUGCCGGAGCACCCCUAAAACAGCAGCUCCUGUCCACAGCUCUUCAGUGAUGCUAAGCUCUGCAUGCGUCCUCUCGCUCCUCCUCCUCCUAACCCUGUACAGACCCAGAGAGACUCAGAGAGGCAUAGUCAUUUACCUGGAGUCACAGAGCACAGACUGCGAUCCACACUCAGACCCAAUUCAGCUGAAGCUUCUAGUGUCUACACUGUGAUCCUUUCUUCGGUUACUAAGGACUUCUUGUUGGGAGGUUCUAUAGGAAGGGACGGGAGCCUCGGGGAGAGGAAAACUGGAUGAAUUCUAAUUCUGGAUUCACAAGUGACUCGCACCAGCGGACCACACACACUCCAUUCUUACCUGGUUGUUGUUUAAUGCAACAGUUAUUAUCAUUAUUUUUGUCACUGGUUAUUUUCCAUCUGUCCUAAGCAUCCACCAUCACUCCACACUAAGUCGGGGGUCUUGACAGCCCUGGUCUUUCCGAUCUCUGACAUCAUAUUCAGAGCUGUCUUCCUCAGGCACCUGCUUCCUUUGUUCA